AAUCAACGCUGGCGGCGUGCCUCAGACAUGCAAGUCGAACGCGAAAGGUUCCUUCGGGGGACCGAGUAGAGUGGCGCACGGGUGAGUAACACGUAGGUAAUUUGCCUUUGGGUGGGGAACAACUCAGGGAAACUUGAGCUAAUACCGCAUAAUGCAGCGGCUCGACAUCGAGACAGUUGUUAAAGCGGGGGAUUCGCAAGAACCUCGCGCCUAAAGAGAAGCCUGCGGCAGAUAGCUAGUUGGUAAGGUAAUGGCUUACCAAGGCGACGAUCUGUAACCGGCCUGAGAGGGCGGUCGGUCACACUGACACUGACAUACGGGUCAGACUCCUACGGGAGGCAGCAGUCGGGAA
RNAcentral lists this ribosomal RNA (352 nucleotides) under uncultured bacterium. RNAcentral describes it as "bacterial SSU rRNA". It matches the Rfam family "Bacterial small subunit ribosomal RNA", at positions 32 to 361 of the family's 1533-position model. The record is from RNAcentral.